RNAcentral lists this long non-coding RNA (490 nucleotides) under Ananas comosus (pineapple). RNAcentral's name for it is "long non-coding RNA (ACOM_LNC001837)". Lineage: Eukaryota; Viridiplantae; Streptophyta; Magnoliopsida; Poales; Bromeliaceae. The record is from RNAcentral.
CGUACCGGUACGCGCCCUGCGUAACGGCCAAACCCGAGAGCAAACCCGAGGGCUGCGCAGCCUGGCAGCGAUGGCUGUACCGGUACAGCCAUCAUGCGUGUACCGGUACACCAGCUCCAGAAAGCUGUUUCUCGAUCUGUUUCGAUUUCUUUUCGCGUCCAACAACGCUAAAACUAUUCCAACACUUUUGGUACUCAUUUUUACUCUUCCAAACAUGUUGAAAUACCAAAUGGGACUUGUCCCAAACUUUCGUUUGCUCACUUUGGUCCAUUGUGCCAAAGUUAGCCAAUAUCGUCGAAUUUCGAUAUCUUACAUGGUGGUUGGGCCGAACGAGUUAUUGUUGCUAGUGGGCUGGGUCGUUACACAUUCCAACAAUGUUGGAAGGGCUAAAAAUGAGUUUAAGAGGUGUUAGAAAGAUUUUAGUAUCGAACGGCGCGAAACAGAAUCGAAAACGGCGUAAAAUUGCAUUAUGGAGCAAAGUGUACCGGUA